This 270-nucleotide ribosomal RNA is filed under the name uncultured archaeon. Its description in RNAcentral is "partial 16S ribosomal RNA". It matches the Rfam family "Archaeal small subunit ribosomal RNA", at positions 477 to 747 of the family's 1478-position model. The record is from RNAcentral.
CAGCACCUCAAGUAGUCAGGAUGAUUAUUGGGCCUAAAGCAUCCGUAGCCGGCGCUGUAAGUUUUCGGUUAAAUCUGUACGCUCAACGUACAGGCUGCCGGGAAUACUGCAGCGCUAGGGAGUGGGAGAGGUAGACGGUACUCGGUAGGAAGGGGUAAAAUCCUUUGAUCUAUUGAUGACCACCUGUGGCGAAGGCGGUCUACCAGAACACGUCCGACGGUGAGGGAUGAAAGCUGGGGGAGCAAACCGGAUUAGAGACCCGAGUAGUCC